RNAcentral lists this ribosomal RNA (236 nucleotides) under Oxyrrhis marina. Its description in RNAcentral is "partial Bacterial large subunit ribosomal RNA". It matches the Rfam family "Bacterial large subunit ribosomal RNA", at positions 1 to 244 of the family's 2925-position model. Lineage: Eukaryota; Dinophyceae; Oxyrrhinales; Oxyrrhinaceae. The record is from RNAcentral.
GUCAAGUGAACAAGAGCAUGUGGUGGAUGCCUUGGCGAUGAUAGGCGAUGAAGGACGUGAUAGCCUGCGAUAAGCCUCGGGGAGCUGGCAAAUGAGCUGUGAUCCGGGGAUUUCCGAAUGGGGAAACCCACCCUUAGGGGUAUCCUGACCUGAAUACAUAGGGUCAGGAGGCGAACCCGGUGAACUGAAACAUCUCAGUAGCCGGAGGAAAGGACAUCAACCGAGACUCCGUUAGU